This 71-nucleotide microRNA precursor is filed under the name Pelodiscus sinensis (Chinese soft-shelled turtle). RNAcentral's name for it is "miRNA (ENSPSIG00000019406.1)". Lineage: Eukaryota; Metazoa; Chordata; Testudines; Trionychidae. The record is from RNAcentral.
GGCUGAUCCAGAACCCUUUGUGGUCAGUGUGAGUCUUUCCAUUGACUUCAGUGGAGUUUGGACCAGGGCCU